GGUUCCGAUCAUACCAGCACUAAUGCACCGGAUCCCAUCAGAACUCCGCAAUUAAGCGUGCUUGGGCGAGAGUAGUACUAGGAUGGGUGACCCCCUGGGAAGUCCUCGUGUUGCAACCGCC
This 121-nucleotide ribosomal RNA is filed under the name Helianthus annuus (common sunflower). Lineage: Eukaryota; Viridiplantae; Streptophyta; Magnoliopsida; Asterales; Asteraceae. The record is from RNAcentral.